GUGUAGAGAGAAUGGAGUA
RNAcentral lists this non-coding RNA (19 nucleotides) under Rattus norvegicus (Norway rat). The record is from RNAcentral. Lineage: Eukaryota; Metazoa; Chordata; Mammalia; Rodentia; Muridae.